ACCGGAAUGUGAACAUUUUGUGAUCAACUCCUUGAACCUUUCCCAUGCCUCAUGAAACUCUUCGUUUGGUUUUUGGGCAAAAGAUGAAAUUUGAGUUCUCAUGUC
Molecule: small nucleolar RNA, 105 nt
Organism: Pyrus x bretschneideri (Chinese white pear)
Lineage: Eukaryota; Viridiplantae; Streptophyta; Magnoliopsida; Rosales; Rosaceae
Source: RefSeq, a predicted model, not a curated record